UGGGACUAAAUGGCUCUCCUACCCACACUUCAGUUGUUCUUGAAGCGGGGAAGAAAGGGAAAUGCGCUGACACGGAGGGACGCGGCGGCGGCCUUGCCCUUGAAAGCCCGCGUUACCGGGCGCGGGACUCAGCUGGCGUCAGGGCGCUGGAAAUGGACUCCCGCGCGCUCGCCCCCGCUCUGCCGGAGGACCCAGCCCGGGCUAAUUGGCGCUGUGAAUGAUUCGGGGCUGUGAACAGGCGACUGCAAUCAGACUAGGGCUGAUGGCGUUGGGAGUCUUGCAGAGUUUGCACUGGCAAGGCAGGCUUUUUAAACCCUUCACUGCUCCACUGGAAACACCACCAAACUAAG
RNAcentral lists this long non-coding RNA (350 nucleotides) under Homo sapiens (human). RNAcentral describes it as "non-protein coding lnc-FAM92A-4:1". Lineage: Eukaryota; Metazoa; Chordata; Mammalia; Primates; Hominidae. The record is from RNAcentral.